Molecule: ribosomal RNA, 332 nt
Filed under: uncultured eukaryote
Lineage: Eukaryota
Description: partial 18S ribosomal RNA
Rfam family: Eukaryotic small subunit ribosomal RNA
Source: RNAcentral
CCCUUAGAUGUUCUGGGCUGCACACGUGCUACACUGGCAGGUUCAGCGAGCUUCAUGCCCUGAUCUGAAAGGAAUGGGUAAUCUUUUCAAAACCUGCCGUGCUUGGGAUAGAUGUUUGCAAUUAUUCAUCUUCAACGAGGAUUGCCUUGUAAGCGCACGUCAUCAGCGUGCAUUGAAUACGACCCUGUAUUCUGUACACACCGCCCGUCGCUCCUACCGAUUGAAGUUUUCGGUGAGUUGACAGGAGGAUUUUUUUGAAACUGGUUCGCCAGUGGAUUUUAGAUCCAAAUGCCAACGAAUCGAUGGCUUUAGAGGAAGGAGAAGUCGUAACA